ACUUUUAAAGGAUAGAAGUCAUCCGUUGGUCUUAGGAACCAAAAAAU
Molecule: transfer RNA, 47 nt
Filed under: Eulemur coronatus (crowned lemur)
Lineage: Eukaryota; Metazoa; Chordata; Mammalia; Primates; Lemuridae
Also listed under: 11 other names
Description: partial tRNA-Leu
Source: RNAcentral